Molecule: unclassified non-coding RNA, 271 nt
Filed under: Hevea brasiliensis (rubber tree)
Lineage: Eukaryota; Viridiplantae; Streptophyta; Magnoliopsida; Malpighiales; Euphorbiaceae
Source: RNAcentral
AUUUUAAUUUGAUUCAAUUGUUAUAUUUAAAAAAUUCAGUUUUUUAUUUUUCAGUCUGAAUAUAGAAUUUGCAGUUCUAAUUAGAUAACCUAAGGUCAAAUUCCUAAUGAUUUCAAUCUUAGCCCGUUGGCCGAUUCUACUUUUGGGUUUUAAUGAAUUAAUGAGUUGAUUCAAUUCAAUUUUCACUUGAAGAUGAUUUGUUUUGAAAUUUUAUGGCAUUGAGAUUAACAAUGAACCUGUUGGGGACCUCCUCAGCACAAAAUGUAAAUUG